This 509-nucleotide ribosomal RNA is filed under the name uncultured bacterium. Its description in RNAcentral is "bacterial SSU rRNA". It matches the Rfam family "Bacterial small subunit ribosomal RNA", at positions 8 to 502 of the family's 1533-position model. The record is from RNAcentral.
AGAGUUUGAUCCUGGCUCAGAACGAACGCUGGCGGCGUGCCUAACACAUGCAAGUCGAACGAGAAAGUCCCUUCGGGGUGAGUAGAGCGGCGCACGGGUGAGUAACACGUAGGUAAUCUACCCUUCAAUCUGGAAUAACUCUUCGAAAGAAGAGCUAAUACCGGAGAGACCACGAGGACAUCAGUUCUUGGGGUUAAAGGCGGGCUUCGGUCUGUCGUUGAAGGACGAGCCUGCGGUCUAUUAGCUUGUUGGUGGGGUAACGGCCUACCAAGGCGGUGAUGGAUAUCUGGUCUGAGAGGAUGAUCAGACGCACUGGAACUGAGACACGGUCCAGACUCCUACGGGAGGCAGCAGUGGGGAAUUUUGCACAAUGGGCGCAAGCCUGAUGCAGCAAUGCCGCGUGGGUGAAGAAGGCCUUAGGGUUGUAAAUGCCCUGUCGGCAGGGACAAACGUCCAGAUGGUUCAUACCCAUUUGGAGUGAUGUACCUGCAAAGGAAGAGGCGCUAACU